GACAGAGGGUGCGAACGUUGCUCGGAAUCACUGGGCGUAAAGCGCGUGUAGGCGGGCAAGCAAGUCAGAUGUGAAAUCCCUGGGCUCAACCCAGGAACUGCACCUGAAACUGCUUGUCUAGAGUAUUGGAGAGGAAAGCGGAAUUCCUGGUGUAGAGGUGAAAUUCGUAGAUAUCAGGAGGAACACCGGUGGCGAAGGCGGCUUUCUGGACAGUUACUGACGCUGAGACGCGAAAGCGUGGGGAGCAAACAGG
This 253-nucleotide ribosomal RNA is filed under the name uncultured bacterium. RNAcentral describes it as "partial 16S ribosomal RNA". It matches the Rfam family "Bacterial small subunit ribosomal RNA", at positions 524 to 776 of the family's 1533-position model. The record is from RNAcentral.